RNAcentral lists this ribosomal RNA (253 nucleotides) under uncultured bacterium. RNAcentral's name for it is "partial 16S ribosomal RNA". It matches the Rfam family "Bacterial small subunit ribosomal RNA", at positions 524 to 776 of the family's 1533-position model. The record is from RNAcentral.
UACGUAGGGGGCAAGCGUUGUCCGGAUUUAUUGGGCGUAAAGAGCGUGUAGGCGGCUUGGUAGGUCCGCUGUGAAAACUCGAGGCUCAACCUCGAGAUGUCGGCGGAAACCACUUGGCUAGAGUCCGGAAGAGGAGAGUGGAAUUCCCGGUGUAGCGGUGAAAUGCGCAGAUAUCAGGAAGAACACCCGGGGCGAAGGCGGCUCUCUGGGACGGUACUGACGCUGAGACGCGAAAGCGUGGGGAGCGAACAGG